RNAcentral lists this ribosomal RNA (649 nucleotides) under uncultured bacterium. Its description in RNAcentral is "bacterial SSU rRNA". It matches the Rfam family "Bacterial small subunit ribosomal RNA", at positions 33 to 677 of the family's 1533-position model. The record is from RNAcentral.
ACGCUGGCGGCAGGCCUAACACAUGCAAGUCGAGCGGUAGAGAGAAGCUUGCUUCUCUUGAGAGCGGCGGACGGGUGAGUAAUGCCUAGGAAUCUGCCUGGUAGUGGGGGAUAACGUUCGGAAACGGACGCUAAUACCGCAUACGUCCUACGGGAGAAAGCAGGGGACCUUCGGGCCUUGCGCUAUCAGAUGAGCCUAGGUCGGAUUAGCUAGUUGGUGGGGUAAUGGCUCACCAAGGCGACGAUCCGUAACUGGUCUGAGAGGAUGAUCAGUCACACUGGAACUGAGACACGGUCCAGACUCCUACGGGAGGCAGCAGUGGGGAAUAUUGGACAAUGGGCGAAAGCCUGGUCCAGCCAUGCCGCGUGUGUGAAGAAGGUCUUCGGAUUGUAAAGCACUUUAAGUUGGGAGGAAGGGCAGUUGCCUAAUACGUAACUGUUUUGACGUUACCGACAGAAUAGGCACCGGCUAACUCUGUGCCAGCAGCCGCGGUAAUACAGAGGGUGCAAGCGUUAAUCGGAAUUACUGGGCGUAAAGCGCGCGUAGGUGGUUUGUUAAGUUGGAUGUGAAAUCCCCGGGCUCAACCUGGGAACUGCAUUCAAAACUGACUGACUAGAGUAUGGUAGAGGGUGGUGGAAUUUCCUGUGUA